RNAcentral lists this ribosomal RNA (253 nucleotides) under uncultured bacterium. RNAcentral describes it as "partial 16S ribosomal RNA". It matches the Rfam family "Bacterial small subunit ribosomal RNA", at positions 524 to 776 of the family's 1533-position model. The record is from RNAcentral.
UACGUAGGGACCAAGCGUUGUUCGGAUUUACUGGGCGUAAAGGGCGCGUAGGCGGCGUGGUAAGUCAAUUGUGAAAUCUCCGAGCUUAACUCGGAACGGUCAAUUGAUACUGCUGUGCUAGAGUACAGAAGGGGCAAUCGGAAUUCUUGGUGUAGCGGUGAAAUGCGUAGAUAUCAGGAGGAACACCGGUGGCGAAGGCGGGUCUCUGGGCCGAUACUGACGCUGAGGAGCGAAAGCGUGGGGAGCGAACAGG